This 26-nucleotide non-coding RNA is filed under the name Cricetulus griseus (Chinese hamster). The record is from RNAcentral. Lineage: Eukaryota; Metazoa; Chordata; Mammalia; Rodentia; Cricetidae.
UCUCCCUAUGGCAACAGAGACAGACU